GGGGGGGGGGGUUUUGAGGUUCUCGAUCCUUGAAUAGUGGUUAGUUUUGCUUGUGACGUAGUUGUAUCAACGUGUUGAGCUAAUUAAAAGCCGAGCUUACUUGCUUUCUUCUACUCAGUGUAUUUUCUAUAAGCGAACGCUCUGCACAUCAUCAUUAUCUUCAUCAUCAGCAUUACCAACUGAAUUAUUCUUAAAUUUCGCAAAUUUAAGCCUCGUUAUUGUUAUAAAAUAUAUUCUUAUAAAAAAUAAAGAGUGUAUCCAGACAUUUUGGGGGAUAUUGAGCAGUUUCCGAGAUAUUUAGAAUAUUUAGGGGGAUGUUUAGAAAUAUUCAUAGCUUAAUUUGGCUUCGCUCUGUGUUUUCCUCGCUAUUUCUUGAAACAAUUCUCGGUUCUAUGGUACAAACAAUCCAGUUCAGCGAUUUCUCGCUCGAAAAAUAUAAUUUUAUUCCAUGUCCGCUAAAAGCGCUAAAGCAGCAAUUUUUUCAAAUGGUGGAUGCUGGUAACAUGGAAGCGCCCGAAGCUUCUUCCUCAACGUUAACUCCUACUAAUGCAAGAAAAUUUUGAAACCUUUGGCCUGUGGGAUUCAAAACCGUUGCAUUUGCAGGGAUAUUUAGAGGGCUUUUUUGAAAAUAUUUAGAAAAUUUUAUGCAUGCAAUAUUUAGAACACAUUUUGAGAAAUUCCGGAAUGGUAUUUAGGGCGAUUUUACGUGAUAUUUGUGGAACUAAAGGCCUAAUCAUCAUCAUCAUUAUCAUCAUCAUCAUCUUCAUCAUUUCUUGACACCCUCGCGUCCACCAGUACCCUUAAACAAACACUGUUCUUUGCUAGUGCUUUAACUUGACCCCCACACAGGAACAGCCCACUUGUUCUAAAUCCUGUAGCAUAGAAUGCUUCCAGUUGCUCCUUGGCCGUCUCCUCAGGUCGCUUGCCAGCUGACCGAGCUUGCUUGCCUGAAAUUAAUUCCUCACGUUACCACAGCCAAUCCUUGUUUUGGAUUUCACUGGAGCAAGUUGAUCGGUGUUUGACGGCCCAGUUGGCCGGUGUGACCCAAAGGCUUCAUUCCUGUCCUCGAUGGACUCCUUGUCCCUCUCUGUUCCAAAUCCAUACUGUACUGAUUUCGGUUACUGUCGCAUCAUGACUACUUUUUAAAGAGGAUUUUAUUUUUAAAAAAAUAGGGACGAGGAAAGAGUGCCUGCAACCAGUUCGUUAUUCUAGGAAAUGCCUCCUCCACCCCCUUUCCUAACUUCCUACCCAAUUAACCGACUUUUACAGUGUAAAUACCUUGCUAAACGGAGCACUAACCUUCGCACUGUUCAGGCUAAACGAAGGCUAUACAGGUUAACCGAGGUGAUAUUUGAGCUACAGCCGAAAUGUUAUGUAACAAAAAGACAACGUGUUCCGUGUUUCUAACGAGCUAUAGGAACACGAGUGGAUUAGGAGAACAAGAAAUUUGGGAACACUAGCCGACGGGCGAGUGUUGUCACAGCUUUUGCGAGUUCUCCCUAGCUACGUUGCGAGACACAGAUUCCGUUUUCUUUCUGUUCGGUGAGAGAAUGGCCCGAUUUAUACUGGAGACGGAUCAACCGUGUGGGACGAGCUUGGGCAAAGAACGGUAGGUCGUCUGAUAAUCCGUAUGUGUAUAAAUACGGGCAAGCAGACGGAUCAUCCGUCUUGACGAGUUAUUCACAUUAAAUGGUUCGUCUCACAAGACGGACUAUCGCGAUAGCUCGUGUGGAUGGAUGCUGCUUGCCCGUAUUUAUACACAGACGGAUUAUCAGACGACCUACCGUUCUUUGCCCAAGCUCGUCUCACACGGAUGAUCCGCCUCCCGUACUUCGGGCCAAUCUCGAUCUCCCUCGCAGGUUAAGUUCUCCUACGCGGAAAUUUUAUGAUCCCCUCGAGCCGUCGAGAGCCUCCUACAGGUGGGAAAGAGGACCGGGCACAUUGUAGAGACAUUGUGUUGUGCUUUUCAGGGCAAGACACAAUUUACUCUCUCAGUUUUAUACUCAAGAACACUGCGGUACUACGUACAAAUAAUUAUCAAAAUUAUAGGCUGAAUCAACCAAUAUUUUUGCGUUUGAAGUAUUUUUUGGGUGAUUUUACCCAAGAUCAACAAAAAAGAAAUCACCUAUAAUUGUAAUCAUCCGUGAAUAAAUUUGCACAUUUGUUUUUCCUCUCACGUUUUGCGAAUCGCAAAAUAACUACUACGUUCGCCGUACUGGCGGAAAAAAUCCUCAAUCUCAAAAAUAACCGCCGUUUUUCUCUGUCGUUCCCGGAUCCGGGGCUCAUACUAGGAGGACAACUUCAUCUGGAUUGGAUUCCGACUACGUGAUAAAAAUUUUUGUGUAUUUUUUUUUUUUCGAAGAAAACGAAAGCGCACAAAGACCUGCAAGCGACCCACAAGUACGCCGCGAAAACGCGGUUUAACUGUUGGUAUCGCGCGGUCUGUCGGGCGUGAUCACAUGACGUACGUGACAUGUUACAUUACCUUCUCGCUCAAAGCUGCCAUGUGCUUGAGGUCAAGAAGUUUUUUUCCUACUUUUUCAGCAAAAACGAAGCGUUUCUCGAUAGAUUUCGAACAGUGAACAUCUUGGCAGUUUACAAAGGAAAUAGUUAGCGUGAUUUGCAGCUGUGCAGCGAAGCGGAUAUCUGGCUCAUCUGGGCUUCAAGCGCUUGGACUUCGUAUUGUGUUUGUCAGUGACAGCGAUUCCAUGAAUUUUUGCUGCCUUCACAAGUCGUGGGUCUUGUGUUGUCGGAAGUAAAACGGCCUUGUUAUUUCCCUGAAAGAAAUCGGUGAAUGAUUGUGUGUGGACAGCAAGCCGUCUGAAAUAUAUCAUGGACGCGACUUAUGUUUUGAUGGGGAAUUAAGCCUUGAUGUUACUCAUAGUGUGACUCAUGGAUCCAUGUGAGUGUGGCCAUCAAGGAGACCUUGCUCGGCGUGCUGGAGAACUGAACCAAGCUGUUAUCCUUUUCACUCAUGGAAUACAGCAUACCCCUCCCAGCAGACCAAAUCUUGCUGCUGAGUUGCUUAGAGACAGAGCAGACUGCUAUUGGGACUUGCACCGUAAAGAGGAAGCAUGCAUGGACAUGAAAAGAGCUCUAGAGUU
Molecule: long non-coding RNA, 3104 nt
Filed under: Orbicella faveolata
Lineage: Eukaryota; Metazoa; Cnidaria; Anthozoa; Scleractinia; Merulinidae
Description: uncharacterized LOC110047213
Source: RNAcentral